GGUGGGCCCUAGCCUUCACUUUUAUAAACUACUCCCUGGAGACCCUCUAGGUAAGUCCCAGGAGAUGAAACUAAGUGUAGACGUCUAAAUCCCCAUUAGGUACAUAGCGGAACAGGGACUCUGCUCUCUCAUCAUCAUGGACUCUCUAACACAAGACUCAAGAUCUUCUUCCCUCUCUCAUUUUGCUUUCUUCUAUUUAGAACCUUUUUUGUUCUAUUGAAGUAGACUGACUUAAAUAUCGAAAGUUCCUUAUAGGAAA
RNAcentral lists this long non-coding RNA (259 nucleotides) under Elaeis guineensis (African oil palm). RNAcentral describes it as "long non-coding RNA (EGUI_LNC024418)". The record is from RNAcentral. Lineage: Eukaryota; Viridiplantae; Streptophyta; Magnoliopsida; Arecales; Arecaceae.